Molecule: small RNA, 103 nt
Filed under: Klebsiella pneumoniae
Lineage: Bacteria; Pseudomonadati; Pseudomonadota; Gammaproteobacteria; Enterobacterales; Enterobacteriaceae
Description: partial RtT sRNA
Rfam family: RtT RNA
About the family: This family represents a bacterial cis-regulatory element known as RtT RNA. The exact function of RtT is unknown although it is thought that it may be involved in changing the cellular response in relation to amino acid starvation.
Source: RNAcentral
UUCUCUGCAGCAGGUUCGGGUCGAACGCAGUGAGACAACGGAGCCGCUUGCGGCGACGGCCCGAAGGGCGAGGCGAAGCCGAGUCAUCCUGCACGACCCACCA